Molecule: long non-coding RNA, 554 nt
Organism: Biomphalaria glabrata
Lineage: Eukaryota; Metazoa; Mollusca; Gastropoda; Planorbidae
Exons: 2
Source: RefSeq, a predicted model, not a curated record
CCUUGCUAGAAUUUGUUUUGUCAAGUUAAUAUUCUUAUAAUAAUUUCAAGGUUGUGUACAUUGAUAAUAGUGAUGUCAUGAUUUUUAGUGUAUAAAAGUCUUGAUCACUGUCCUUAUAGAUUCAUCUUUGGUAAGCCAUCUCAAGAACUGUUGCAAUGUGUUUGGUACGAAGAUGAACAUACUUCUCCUUACACUAGUUUUUGUGGCCUCGGCCUCUGCCUAUAUCAUCCGCCCUUUAGAUGAAGUCUAUGCUAAAGGAGAAAGAGAAAUAUGUGUACCCAUUUUCGGUGUGGCUCAAAUUUGUGCUGAUCCACACAUCAGCGGCAAGAGAGAUGAAGAUAUCAACCUAGCAGAGAUUGUCGCCAACAUUGGAAAGGUUGUCCACGUCAUUGAUGAGUUCGUGGCAGGAACAACCGGGAAAAGAGAGGAACAGGACGUCUGCAUUACAUUAUUUGGCCUUCAAGUGAUAUGUAUUUAAAACUAUGAAGCCACACACUGUCUUGAGUUAAAAAGAUCUCAUGUAGAUCUGAUCUAUUAAAAAUGUCAUAAAAUAA